Molecule: ribosomal RNA, 253 nt
Filed under: uncultured bacterium
Lineage: Bacteria
Description: partial 16S ribosomal RNA
Rfam family: Bacterial small subunit ribosomal RNA
Source: RNAcentral
UCCGUAGGGUGCGAUCGUUGUCCGGAAUUACUGGGCGUAAAGAGCUUGUAGGCGGUUUGUCGCGUCGUCUGUGAAAACUCACAGCUCAACUGUGAGCUUGCAGGCGAUACGGGCAGACUUGAGUACUGCAGGGGAGACUGGAAUUCCUGGUGUAGCGGUGAAAUGCGCAGAUAUCAGGAGGAACACCGGUGGCGAAGGCGGGUCUCUGGGCAGUAACUGACGCUGAGAAGCGAAAGCGUGGGUAGAGAACAGG